AGAGAGAGACAUGCGCGCAUAUCAAUAAGCGGAGGAAAAGAAACUAACAAGGAUUCCCCUAGUAACGGCGAGUGAAGCGGGAAGAGCUCAAAUUUGAAAUCUUAAAGGGUUUCCCUUUACGAAUUGUAGUUUAAAGAAGUGUUUUCUGUUGAGGUUUUGGUAAAAGUUCUUUGGAAUAGGACAUCAUAGAGGGUGAGAAUCCCGUAUUUGACCUUUACUUUCAACUUUGUGAUACACUUUCAAAGGGUCGGAUUGUUUGGGAAUGCAGUCCAAAAUGGGUGGUAAAUUUCAUCUAAAGCUAAAUAUUGGCGAGAGACCGAUAGCGAACAAGUACCGUGAGGGAAAGAUGAAAAGAACUUUGAAAAGAGAGUUAAACAGUACGUGAAAUUGUCAAAAGGGAAGCGUUUGACACCAGUGUUGUUUUUCUGAAAAUCAAUUAAAGAACUGUUUAUGCUAAGUUGUUUAGACUUUAUCAGCUAACUGUUUAGUUUUGAGCUUUUCUUUAAUGCACUUUUCAGUUAACAAGUCAACAUCAAUUUCUUUUGCUGUAAAAAAGCUUGAGGAAGGUGGCUUGAGAUUCGUCUUAAGUGUUUAUAGCCUCUUGCCUAUGCAGUCGGAGAGAUUGAGGUCUGCAGCGUAGAUCCUUCGGGGCUAAAUGCAUUUGUGCUAAGUUAUAGCAUUUUAUAGACAACUUGUUGACUAUGAUUUGUCUUGUAGCUUACUCGCUUAUGUUAUUUUACCUACGCUUAGGAUGUUGACGCAUGAGAUAUACGC
This 774-nucleotide ribosomal RNA is filed under the name uncultured Neocallimastigales. RNAcentral's name for it is "partial large subunit ribosomal RNA". It matches the Rfam family "Eukaryotic large subunit ribosomal RNA", at positions 23 to 646 of the family's 3401-position model. The record is from RNAcentral. Lineage: Eukaryota; Fungi; Neocallimastigomycota; Neocallimastigomycetes; Neocallimastigales.